This 236-nucleotide long non-coding RNA is filed under the name Malus domestica (apple). RNAcentral's name for it is "long non-coding RNA (MDOM_LNC004056)". Lineage: Eukaryota; Viridiplantae; Streptophyta; Magnoliopsida; Rosales; Rosaceae. The record is from RNAcentral.
CCUAUCCACCCUCAACAAUCAACAUCAGCGCCCAAGACCACCCACGGAAGCACCUUGCUAUAACUAUUCAAAGACACAUCGACCACCCACGAGCUAAAUUUCAAGCCCCGAGGCUUCCAAAAAAAUCAAGAAGACAAGAAAAAUAACUUUUUUCUUACCUAGAAGCAACGAGAAAACGAAGCAAGCAACGAAAGACGAUCCUUUGCAAUGGGCAAGAUGUGGAAGAUUGCUAGAGG